This 500-nucleotide ribosomal RNA is filed under the name uncultured bacterium. RNAcentral describes it as "bacterial SSU rRNA". It matches the Rfam family "Bacterial small subunit ribosomal RNA", at positions 29 to 518 of the family's 1533-position model. The record is from RNAcentral.
AGUGAACGCUGGCGGCAGGCCUAAUACAUGCAAGUCGAACGGCAGCACAGCAGAGCUUGCUCUGUGGGUGGCGAGUGGCGGACGGGUGAGGAAUACAUGGGAAUCUGCCCAGUCGUGGGGGAUAACGUAGGGAAACUUACGCUAAUACCGCAUGCGCCCUUCGGGGGAAAGCCGGGGACCUUCGGGCCUGGCGCGAUUGGAUGAGCCCAUGUCGGAUUAGCUAGUUGGUGGGGUAACGGCCCACCAAGGCGACGAUCCGUAGCUGGUCUGAGAGGACGACCAGCCACACUGGAACUGAGACACGGUCCAGACACCUACGGGUGGCAGCAGUCGAGAAUUUUUCACAAUGGGCGCAAGCCUGAUGGAGCGACGCCGCGUGGGGGAUGAAUGGCUUCGGCCCGUAAACCCCUGUCAUUUGCGAUCAAACGUUAUUAUUUAAAAGAUGAUGACCUGAUAGUAGCGAAAGAGGAAGGGACGGCUAACUCUGUGCCAGCAGCCGC